AAUCGAACCCGGAGAUAGCUGGUUCUCCUCGAAAUAGCUUUAGGGCUAGCCUCAUGGAUCAUUGGUGGGGGUAGAGCACUGAAUGUGCGCGGGGGCCACAAAGCCUACCAAACGCUAUCAAACUACGAAUACCAUACAAUGCAGACCAUGGGAGUCAGUCCGCGAGAGAUAAGUUCCGCGGGCAAAAGGGGAACACCCCAGAUCAACCGCUAAGGUCCCCAAGUUCACGUUAAGUGGAGAAGGAUGUGGAAUUGCACAGACAACCAGGAUGUUGGCUCAGAAGCAGCCACACAUUUAAAGAGUGCGUAAUAGCUCACUGGUCGAGUGAUUGUGCGCCGAAGAUGUCCGGGGCUAAACGUGACACCGAAGCGAUGGGUGCGUCUGAAAGGAUGCGCGGUAGAGGAGCAAUGUGCAGAGGCAGAAGCCGUAUCGAGAGGCACGGUGGACACUGCACAAGAGAGAAUGCCGGUAUGAGUAGCGAGAGGCAUGCGAGAAACAUGCCCGUCGAAAGCCCAAGGUUUCCUGGGGAAGGUUCAUCCGCCCAGGGUAAGUCGGGGCCUAAGCCGAGGACGGAAGUCGUAGGCGAUGGACAGCAGGUGUAGAUUCCUGCACUACCGAUGGAAUGAAGCAGUGACACAGAAGGAUAACUCGAGCAGGGUGAUGGUCAACCCUGUGCAAGCAUCAAGGUUGGGUUGUAGUGAAGUACGCAAUCCUACAAGCUGAGGUGUGAUGCGGACCGAAAUUUCAGUAGGGAAGCGAGUGAGUUCACGCUGGCGAGAAAAGCUGCUAGUACAUCCAAAGGUACCCGUACCGGAAACCGACGCAGGUGGGCGAGGAGAGAAUCCUGAGACGAACGGGAGAACCCUUGUUAAGGAACUCGGCAAAAUGACCCCGUAACUUCGGGAUAAGGGGUGCCUGCGAGAGCAGGCCGCAGAGAAUAGUCACAAGCGACUGUUUAGCAAAAACACAGGUAUCUGCGAAAGCGAGAGCUGACGUAUAGGUGCUGACACCUGCCCGGUGCUGGAAGGUUAAGGGAACAUGUUAGAGCAAUCGAAGCAUCGAACCGAAGCCCCAGUAAACGGCGGCCGUAACUAUAACGGUCCUAAGGUAGCGAAAUUCCUUGUCGGGUAAGUUCCGACCCGCACGAAUGGUGUAACGACUUGUGAGCUGUCUCAACAGGGGGCCCGGUGAAAUUGAAGUAUGGGUGAAGAUGCCCAUUACCCGCGACUGGACGGAAAGACCCCGUAGAGCUUUACUGCAGCCUGAUAUUGAGUUUCGGUAACUGAUGCACAGGAUAGGUGGGAGUCUGAGAGACACGGGUUUCGGCUCGUGUGGAGACGCUGUUGGGAUACCACUCUUCGGUUACUGAAAUUCUAACAUAGCUCUGUGAAACCAGAGGAUGGACAGUGUCAGGUGGACAGUUUGACUGGGGCGGUCGCCUCCGAAAGAGUAACGGAGGCGCCCAAAGGUACCCUCAGAAUGGAUGGAAACCAUUCGAAGAGCGCAAAGGCAGAAGGGUGCCUGACUGCGAGAUUGACAAAUCGAGCAGAGACGAAAGUCGGGCUUAGUGAUCCGGCGGUAUUGAGUGGAAAAGCCGUCGCUUAACGGAUAAAAGCUACCUCGGGGAUAACAGGCUGAUCUCCCCCAAGAGUCCACAUCGACGGGGAGGUUUGGCACCUCGAUGUCGGCUCAUCGCAUCCUGGGGCUGAAUUCGGUCCCAAGGGUUUGGCUGUUCGCCAAUUAAAGCGGCACGCGAGCUGGGUUCAGAACGUCGUGAGACAGUUCGGUCCCUAUCCAUCGUGGGCGUAGGAGUCAUGAGAGGAGCUGUUCCUAGUACGAGAGGACCGGAAUGGACGCACCACUGGUGCAACUGUUGUCGUGCCAACGGCAUAGCAGGGAAGCGAAGUGCGGAUGGGAUAAACGCUGAAGGCAUCUAAGCGUGAAGCCCACCUCAAGAAUAAGACUCCACAAUAGACCCCUGGAGGACUACCAGGUAGAUAGGUCAUCGGUGGAAGCGCUGUAAGGCGUGUAGCUUGAUGAUACUAAUCGGUCGAAAGCUUCAUUU
Molecule: ribosomal RNA, 2065 nt
Filed under: human gut metagenome
Description: bacterial LSU rRNA
Rfam family: Bacterial large subunit ribosomal RNA
Source: RNAcentral